UGUCGGUAGUAAUGUUGGACCUGUUACUGGUACAGGUAGUAGUGCCAGUAGUAGUGUAGGUAGUAGUAGUGUCAGUAGUAGUAGUGUCAGUAGUAGUAGUGUCAGUAGUAGUACUAUGAACGAUAAUAGCAAAGAAGACGUUUCCAAUAUUGAAAAACCAAUCAACACGAACAACUCAAAUUUAAUUAACAAAAUUAAUGACAAUUCGCAAACACAUACUGAAAAUAAAACAGAUUCCUUUAACAAUUUGAAAACGAAUGAUACCCAAAACGUUGAUAAUAAUGGAAAUAAUGAAAAUUAUGGAAUUAAUGAACACGAGCGUACCCAAACAAAUUUAAACGAACCCGAGAAAAUAAGAGACAGUAACACAAACAUUAGUAUGAAGAACGAAACUAGUACUAUUGAAACUGUGGACAGAACAACUGAAAGUGUUAUAAAAGUAAACGCAGCAGCAACAGAAGAAAAGGGAGUAGCAGAAAAGGGAGUAGCAGAAAAGGGGGUAGCAGAAAAGGGGGUAGCGGAAAAGGGAGUAACGGAAAAAAUAGUNNNNNNNNNNGAUGAUGAAACAGUUGGUACUGUCGGUAGUAAUGUUGGACCUGUUACUGGUACAGGUAGUAGUGCCAGUAGUAGUGUAGGUAGUAGUAGUGUCAGUAGUAGUAGUGUCAGUAGUAGUAGUGUCAGUAGUAGUACUAUGAACGAUAAUAGCAAAGAAGACGUUUCCAAUAUUGAAAAACCAAUCAACACGAACAACUCAAAUUUAAUUAACAAAAUUAAUGACAAUUCGCAAACACAUACUGAAAAUAAAACAGAUUCCUUUAACAAUUUGAAAACGAAUGAUACCCAAAACGUUGAUAAUAAUGGAAAUAAUGAAAAUUAUGGAAUUAAUGAACACGAGCGUACCCAAACAAAUUUAAACGAACCCGAGAAAAUAAGAGACAGUAACACAAACAUUAGUAUGAAGAACGAAACUAGUACUAUUGAAACUGUGGACAGAACAACUGAAAGUGUUAUAAAAGUAAACGCAGCAGCAACAGAAGAAAAGGGAGUAGCAGAAAAGGGAGUAGCAGAAAAGGGGGUAGCAGAAAAGGGGGUAGCGGAAAAG
RNAcentral lists this long non-coding RNA (1102 nucleotides) under Piliocolobus tephrosceles (Ugandan red Colobus). RNAcentral describes it as "lncRNA (ENSPTEG00000010937.1)". Lineage: Eukaryota; Metazoa; Chordata; Mammalia; Primates; Cercopithecidae. The record is from RNAcentral.